UUGUGAACUCGACGAGUAGGGCGGGACACGUGUUAUCCUGUCUGAAUAUGGGGGGACCAUCCUCCAAGGCUAAAUACUCCUGAUUGACCGAUAGUGAACCAGUACCGUGAGGGAAAGGCGAAAAGAACCCCGGCGAGGGGAGUGAAAAAGAACCUGAAACCGUGUACGUACAAGCAGUAGGAGCCUCUUUAUGGGGUGACUGCGUACCUUUUGUAUAAUGGGUCAGCGACUUAUAUUCUGUAGCAAGGUUAACCG
RNAcentral lists this ribosomal RNA (255 nucleotides) under Proteus mirabilis. Its description in RNAcentral is "partial 23S ribosomal RNA". It matches the Rfam family "Bacterial large subunit ribosomal RNA", at positions 397 to 652 of the family's 2925-position model. The record is from RNAcentral. Lineage: Bacteria; Pseudomonadati; Pseudomonadota; Gammaproteobacteria; Enterobacterales; Morganellaceae.